RNAcentral lists this long non-coding RNA (383 nucleotides) under Elaeis guineensis (African oil palm). Its description in RNAcentral is "long non-coding RNA (EGUI_LNC069011)". Lineage: Eukaryota; Viridiplantae; Streptophyta; Magnoliopsida; Arecales; Arecaceae. The record is from RNAcentral.
AAAGGUUCGACAGACGGCAAUAUUAGUGCAACGCACAGAUGAAGUAACACAAAAUGCUCUUUUUAUUCCAUUUUCGAUAUACACACUACAAAGCCAGGAAGGCCAAAGAAAGAAGGGCAAAACGACAAAAAGAAAGUAACUGCAUGACAAGACAGAAAGACAAAAAGAGCUCUAAGAAGGCCCUGCUCCCUCCGACCUAGAGUUAUCUAUUCCGUUCCUCAACCAGGACUGCCUCAGAUUCUCAAUCUCCUCUUCUAGCUCUUCCCUCUUCCGCAGCACGUCUUGGAGCGCCCGACGAAGUUGCUGGCUCUCAGCCUCCGCCUCUCGACGCCUCUUCCUCAAAACUUCGGACUCCGCCUCCGUGUCCGCGAUGGCCCGCCGCU